GCACCAGGCUUUUUGGUCAUUUGCCGUCCAGUUCUCUUUGUGCUGCCUCGGUGACUGCUAGCCUGACAACAUGUCUCUGUAUUUGUCCUCAUCUAGGAUGUCCAGUGGGGGUAGCCUAGGCUUCUCUGGAGGGAUGGGAGGUGCUGGCUUGGCCCUUGGGUCCAGGUUGGGUCUGGGUUUUGGGGCAGGUGCUGGUAUGGGUGCAGGGCUAGGUCUGGGAAGUGGGUUUGGUCUCGGCCUCGGCCUGGGUGGUGGAGCUGGGGCUGGUGCCGGGGCAGGGGCGGGUGGAUCUGCCCUGGUUCCCAGCCCAGCUUUUACCAUGGGCCGCACCCUCGCAGCAGGUGGCCUGAGCGCUGGGUCCGCCAUGGUGGCUGGACCUGCCUUGGGGCCCAUGCUGGCCCCUGUGCUCUCCCGGGAGGCAGAGAAGCACACGCUCUCCGGGCUGAAUGACCGCUUCUCCUCGUACAUGGCUAAGGUGCGGGUGCUGCAGCAGGAGAACGUCGCCCUGGAGGCCAAGCUCUCGCAGCUGACCGGAGGGGCAGACAUGUCCCCCGAGAGCUCGAGCACCUCCACCGCGGAGUACGAGGCCCAGCUCAAUGAGUACCGCAACACCUUGGAGAACCUCACUCUGGACACCAUCAAGUUGGAGAUCGAGCUGGACAACAUCCGUGGCACAGCUCAUGAACUGAAGGCCAAGCUGGAUUUUGAGCAGGGUGUGAAGUUUCAGCUGGAGUCUGACAUCAGUUCCAUGAAGAGGGACGUCGAGACAGCAUCCGACCUCCGCAUUGACCUGGACGCCAAGCUUGCCAGUCUGAGAAACGAGCUGGACUUUGUCACUAAGACUCAGGAAGAGGAGCUGUCGACGCUGCAGGCUAAGCUGGGCACCACCUCUAUGGAGAAGUCGGUGUCCAUGAUUGCGGUGGACACCGGCAGAUCCUUCGAUAUCUCGGUGGCUCUCAAUAAGAUGAGGACGGAGUAUGAGAAGUCGGUACAGCAGCACCGAGAAGAGGCUGACGCUUACUACAAGCUAAAGAUGGAGGAGAUGCAAACGGCGACAGCGAAGAACACAGAGGCCAUUUCCUCGGCCAAGGUGGAGAUCAGCGCCGCCAGGAAGGAGCUACAGAGCCUCGCUCUGGAGCUGCAAAGUCUGGCAUCUGCUAACCUGACCCUUGAGCAGAGUCUCGCAGAAGCUCAGGCCCAGUCCAGUGUAGGAGUGGCUGACUACCAGGCCCAGAUCGCCAGCCUGACGUCGGCCAUCGAGGUAGCCAAGGCCGACCUGCACAAACAGAUCCUCGCCUAUCAGGAGCUCUUGGACGUCAAGCUGGCCCUGGAUGUGGAAAUCUCCACCUACAGAAAACUGCUGGAGGGAAAUGAUAUCAAGUUGCCAGAUUCAUCCUUAUCGGAUUCCUCAUACAGCUUCACAGGGUGUGACCUCCCCCACUCCAGCACCCCCCUGCCCUGCCUCUGGAGAGAGGCUAACUAAACACCCCCUGCAGUGGGAAGUGGAGGAAUACAGGUUAAGGAAAUCAUCACAGAGCACACUGAAACUUCCCUCCUGUCAGACGCAGAUUAAGCGUGAUUCAUCACAUUGAGUGCCGGGGGAAAGGUCCCGACACGGGCAGCCGCGUGACCCUGCCCCGCUGCCCACUACUGAAUAAACAGCUUAAACAUGC
Molecule: RNA transcript, 1673 nt
Organism: Paramormyrops kingsleyae
Lineage: Eukaryota; Metazoa; Chordata; Actinopteri; Osteoglossiformes; Mormyridae
Gene name: thread biopolymer filament subunit gamma
Source: RefSeq, a predicted model, not a curated record